RNAcentral lists this long non-coding RNA (1050 nucleotides) under Anas platyrhynchos platyrhynchos (common mallard). Its description in RNAcentral is "lncRNA (ENSAPLG00000028359.1)". The record is from RNAcentral. Lineage: Eukaryota; Metazoa; Chordata; Aves; Anseriformes; Anatidae.
AGACAGCCACACGCAUCACAGGCCAAAAAUCCCACGUCGGCGAGCAAUUUCUCCAGCAAACCAGCUGUGCUGCCUUCACCUGUCAAGGCACGGAGGAAGGCGAGGCCUCUCCUGCUCUGCCUCGCCGAAGCCCCCCGGGCAGCACCACCCGCACCUCGGGCUCGCUGCCUGGGGCCCCCACCCCGCUCAGCCGCCUCACCCCACCGGGCGCAGGGGCACCGGGCUCCCCUCAGCCCCACACCUGGCCCCGGCUGCCCUCUGAGCCCUCCGGGGAGGGGGGGGGCAGCUGCCUUUCACCAGCACCUCACGGGGCCGGGGGGGGGGCUCGGCUCCCUGCGGAUUGAGGGCCCAGCCCCGCUGCGCCACUCGGCCGCGCUCCCGUCCCCGCCGCCCCCCGCCGCCGUCCCCGGGCCUCGGCUCCCGGCCCCGCGGCUCGCUGCUCACCGGGCGGCGCCGUGCCCCCGGCGCUGGGCUCAGCUGGGCUCGGCUCGGCGCAGCUCGGCCGCCUGCCGGGCGGGUCCCCUGGGCGGCGGCGGCGGCUCCGUGUCCCGGGCGGCGGCGGUGGGCAGAGCGGGCGGGGCAGCGCCUCACGUAAGAGCCCUGUCACCUCCCCGCCGCCAUCUUGUGCGGGCCGGGGGUAGGGGCUCCGAGGCUGGAGCUUGGAGCUCUUGCUCGGUCCCGCUUAGGGCCGUGUCUGCCUUUAGCACGGGAAAUCGCCGCUUUUCUCGAAAUAAGCCGCCUCAGAGCUUCCCGAGAACGUGUAGGUGUAAAAAUAAAAGUCAGGAACCCGACGCGGCUUGUUCCGAGCAGCUGAGUGUGCAGGAAAUCCCCAUCCUGGGACGCGUGAGGCCAGCCGGCUGCCGCCUGCGCCUUCAUCUGCGAGGAGGGGAAAUUGCAGGGAAACUGCACCUUUUGGCAGGGGAAAGGCACCCCAGGGCCGGUGUGAACGCGGCAUGGCACACCUUUCCUGCUCCUGGCACCACCUGGUGUUGGAGCAGCCUCUGGAGUCUGCCUUUGACUCCCCAGUCUGUUUGGCGUCUGCUCACCUGA